UCCGUAGGCGGGCAAUUAAGUCAGAGGUGAAAUCCCACAGCUCAACUGUGGAACUGCCUUUGAUACUGGUUGUCUUGAGUUACAGUGAAGUAGAUAGAAUAUGUAGUGUAACGGUGAAAUGCAUAGAUAUUACGUAGAAUACCGAUUGCGAAGGCAGUCUACUAACUGUAUACUGACGCUAAUGGACGAAAGCGUGGGGAGCGAACAGGAUUAGAUACCCUGGUAGUCC
Molecule: ribosomal RNA, 229 nt
Filed under: uncultured bacterium
Lineage: Bacteria
Description: partial 16S ribosomal RNA
Rfam family: Bacterial small subunit ribosomal RNA
Source: RNAcentral